AAUUUCUUCGGAAUGACGAUUUAGUGACUGAGUGGCGGACGGGUGAGUAACGCGUGGGUAACCUGCCUUAUACAGGGGGAUAACAGUUGGAAACGGCUGCUAAUACCGCAUAAGCGCACAGUACCGCAUGGUACAGUGUGAAAAACUCCGGUGGUGUGAGAUGGACCCGCGUCUGAUUAGCUAGUUGGCAGGGUAGCGGCCUACCAAGGCGACGAUCAGUAGCCGACCUGAGAGGGUGACCGGCCACAUUGGGACUGAGAUACGGCCCAGACUCC
Molecule: ribosomal RNA, 275 nt
Filed under: uncultured Lachnospiraceae bacterium
Lineage: Bacteria; Bacillati; Bacillota; Clostridia; Lachnospirales; Lachnospiraceae
Description: partial 16S ribosomal RNA
Rfam family: Bacterial small subunit ribosomal RNA
Source: RNAcentral